RNAcentral lists this small nucleolar RNA (64 nucleotides) under Euglena gracilis. RNAcentral's name for it is "Eg-m49 box C/D methylation-guide snoRNA". Lineage: Eukaryota; Euglenozoa; Euglenophyceae; Euglenales; Euglenaceae. The record is from RNAcentral.
CAAAUGAUUACUGUUUACAACUCUCAUUCUGCUGAGCUUUUGAUGUUACCAACGUAAAAUGAGC